RNAcentral lists this ribosomal RNA (497 nucleotides) under uncultured bacterium. RNAcentral describes it as "partial 16S ribosomal RNA". It matches the Rfam family "Bacterial small subunit ribosomal RNA", at positions 28 to 507 of the family's 1533-position model. The record is from RNAcentral.
GAUGAACGCUGGCGGCGUGCCUAAUACAUGCAAGUCGAGCGAACGGACGAGAAGCUUGCUUCUCUGAUGUUAGCGGCGGACGGGUGAGUAGCACGUGGAUAACCUACCUAUAAGACUGGGAUAACUUCGGGAAACCGUAGCUAAUACCGGAUAAUAUUUUGAACCGCAUGGUUCAAAAGUGAAAGACGGUCUUGCUGUCACUUAUAGAUGGAUCCGCGCUGCAUUAGCUAGUUGGUAAGGUAACGGCUUACCAAGGCAACGAUGCAUAGCCGACCUGAGAGGGUGAUCGGCCACCCUGGAACUGAGACACGGUCCAGACUCCUACGGGAGGCAGCAGUAGGGAAUCUUCCGCAAUGGGCGAAAGCCUGACGGAGCAACGCCGCGUGAGUGAUGAAGGUCUUCGGAUCGUAAAACUCUGUUAUUAGGGAAGAACAUAUGUGUAAGUAACUGUGCACAUCUUGACGGUACCUAAUCAGAAAGCCACGGCUAACUACGUG